UUGGUAGCAUUGAGACAUAAUAAUGUAGAACUACAUAUAGCUAUCCAGUCUUCAGAGUAUAUCUUAAAAUAGUUUUCAAGCUAUAGGGAAAAGCAAUAGUAACAUCUUUCAUCUUUUGACCCAUUUCAGAAAUAAAGUUCACACAUGAACUACAGGCAGUCUGUCAUCAGCAGCAGUAAGAAUAUCAGAAUUGCCAUGCUGGGUCAGACCCAUGGCUCAUCCAGUUUUCUCUUUCAGAAAGCAUCACCAAGGGAAGUGUUGUGGGCUGGCUUAAUUGGUCCUCUGUGACGUCAGGCUCAACAGGUUAGGUAGGGAUGUGCUGCUAAACAUUUUAGUUUUUCUAAUAAUCUCUCCAUAGCUUCUGAAAAACUUUUUGAAGCUACUUAUAUCUGUCACCUUGAUUCUUCUUAAGGUUUAAAUAUUCUGUAGAUGGAGUAGUCAUAGUUAAAAGUAAUCCCAUAUCUUCUCUUUUCUCAGGCUUUAAGAGUUAACAAUGUGUCCCCUGGUGUUACGGUAUGAAGCAAAGAAAUGUUUUCCUGCUAGACAAGAACACUGUUUUGUAGUCUUCAACUGUAUUCCCUUUGGGUCUUUUAUAAAGUUUUGUGUUUUUUUUUAACUGAAAAC
This 624-nucleotide long non-coding RNA is filed under the name Bos taurus (domestic cattle). RNAcentral's name for it is "long non-coding RNA NONBTAT018691". Lineage: Eukaryota; Metazoa; Chordata; Mammalia; Artiodactyla; Bovidae. The record is from RNAcentral.